CCUGCCCUGAAGCGGGGGACAACAGCUUGAAAGAGCUGCUAAUACCGCAUGUGUUUAUCGGAUGGCAUCAUUUGAUAAACAAAGCAUUUAUGCACUUCAGGAUGGGCCUGCGGCCUAUCAGCUAGUUGGUGUGGUAACGGCUCACCAAGGCUUCGACGGGUAGCUGGUCUGAGAGGACGAUCAGCCGGAUUGGGACUGAGAUACGGCCCAG
Molecule: ribosomal RNA, 211 nt
Filed under: uncultured bacterium
Lineage: Bacteria
Description: partial 16S ribosomal RNA
Rfam family: Bacterial small subunit ribosomal RNA
Source: RNAcentral